GGGGAAUAGCUCCGAGAAAUCGGGAUUAAUACCUCAUAGCAUCAUGAUAUGGCAUCAUAUUAUGAUUAAAGUCACGGCGGUUAGAGAUGGGCAUGCGUGCCAUUAGCUAGUUGGUGGGGUAGCGGCUCACCAAGGCAACGAUGGCUAGGGGUUCUGAGAGGAUUAUCCCCCACACUGGUACUGAGACACGGACCAGACUCCUACGGGAGGCAGCAGUAAGGAAUAUUGGUCAAUGGACGCAAGUCUGAACCAGCCAUGCCGCGUGCAGGAAGACGGCCUUAUGGGUUGUAAACUGCUUUUGUCAGGGAAUAAACCCUCCUUUGCGAAGGGGGCUGAAGGUACCCGAAGAAUAAGCACCGGCUAACUCCGUGCCAGCAGCCGCGGUAAUACGGAGGGUGCAAGCGUUAUCCGGAUUCAUUGGGUUUAAAGGGUGCGCAGGCGGGCUUGUCAGUCAGUGGUGAAAUCCUACGGCUUAACCGUGGAACUGCCAUUGAUACUGCAGGUCUUGAGUAUAGUUGAAGUGGGCGGAAUGUAGCAUGUAGCGGUGAAAUGCAUAGAUAUGCUACAGAACACCAAUUGCGAAGGCAGCUCACUAAGUUAUAACUGACGCUCAUGCACGAAAGCGUGGGGAUCAAACAGGAUUAGAUACCCUGGUAGUCCACGCUGUAAACGAUGAUCACUCGUUGUUGGCGAUACACAGUCAGCGACCAAGCGAAAGUGAUAAGUGAUCCACC
RNAcentral lists this ribosomal RNA (734 nucleotides) under uncultured Bacteroidota bacterium. RNAcentral's name for it is "bacterial SSU rRNA". It matches the Rfam family "Bacterial small subunit ribosomal RNA", at positions 138 to 873 of the family's 1533-position model. Lineage: Bacteria; Pseudomonadati; Bacteroidota. The record is from RNAcentral.